This 27-nucleotide small RNA is filed under the name Bombyx mori (domestic silkworm). RNAcentral's name for it is "ovarian small RNA-31420". The record is from RNAcentral. Lineage: Eukaryota; Metazoa; Arthropoda; Insecta; Lepidoptera; Bombycidae.
UGACAGUGAGACAGUACUGGUAGUUGC